AAAAAGGGACGGAUUUUACUUGCCGGGAGAUCGGUCGAUGAUUAUAUCUCGUUCUGCAUCCUCUCCCGUCGAAGGUGAAAUUGUUGCAAAUGCAAACCCUACCAUAUGCAAGACCUCGUUUUGCAGGAAUUUGCAACGGCGCAUGGCUUAGAACCUUGAGCGUCCGAGCAUUCUCGUCAUCUGACUAUGGGGACCAGGCACGUGGAGGCCUACCGCGCUUCUUCUCCGAAGUUCUUCCUCCUUCCAAGGGUAACAAUGUGCGCGUGCAAGGUGAUGAAUUCUGGCACAUGACAAAAGUUUUAAGAUUAAGCGCCAAUGACAGGGUAGAGCUCUUUAAUGGGAAAGGGAGUUUAGUAGAAGGGUGCAUACAGAACAUUGAUCGUACAGGACUUGAUUUUGUUGCUUUGAACGAUCCAAAGUUAAUACCUCCACAGAACACUCAAUGGCAUGUGUUUGCAGGCUUUGGUACUCUGAAAGGUGGUCGGGCUGACUGGCUUGUAGAGAAGUGUACAGAACUUGGAGCCAGUAGCGUAACUCCUCUCUUGACUGAACGCUGUCAGUCAAUAUCAGAAAAUCGGGUAGACAGAUUGGAACGUGUCAUUUUAGCAGCAUCUAAACAAUGUCAAAGGCUGCAUGAAAUGAUCAUGAAACCUCCAAUAAAGAUUGAUGAACUUUUGCAUCUUAUUGCUCGCUCCAAGCUCUCUCUCCUUGCAGCAGCCAAGGCUGCUCCUGUUCUUGGUGCAUUGACAUCUUCGCCCCAGGAAACUGGUGGCUUGAUCAUAAUUGGACCAGAAGGAGACUUCACAGAGAAGGAAGUCAAUAUGAUGAUAGAAGUGGGUGCUACUGCUGUUGGUCUAGGGCCACAUCGACUACGGGUUGAAACUGCAACAAUAGCACUUUUGGCCACUGUCAUGUUAUGGUCUGACUCACGGCAAAAUUCUGUCGUUUGACUCAUCAUCACAGGACAUAAGUUAUUUGAACACCUCUUGCGAAAGAAUCAUAUCAUUCAUGCUGCCGAAGUCUUGCUAAUUGGUAUCCUAGUAACAUGGAAGCAUGAAAAGUAGGAGAAAUUCGUAGAUUUUGAAAAAUAGAUAGCGUCCGUACUAGUUUAUAGACAGAGCAACACAAGAUUGCUGGUUGGGGUACCCUGGAUCUCAAGGUGUGUUAUCUCGCAGAUAUUUGCUGAAGCUCUCCUGUCCUGGCUUGAUGUCGUGAGUUGAAUUCAAGCUCUCUCUUCUUUGAAAUCUCUUCAAUGGCUAUGAGAAAGAUCAAGUCAAUCUUUGCACAUGUUGCUUUGCCUGAGAACACCAUUGUGCAGCCAAUUUAUGUGUACUUUUCAGAUUCAUGUGCUUUGUUCUGCUUAGAUAACAGUUAUCACAUGGGAUGUCUUGUAUUUGCCUCCAUGUUUGUCCUCUUACCAUAUAGGUGACGAAAUUGAAAUUUUUGAUGAAGAUGGGAUAUGCUACUUGCACGUGGAUUUUAGAAUAUAUUGAAGAUCAGUCCUCUAAAUUCUCAGACUUUUCCUUUUCAAAUAGUAAAAAGAAAAAGUUUAGGUAAGUUGGGGUUUAAAAAUUCAUCGGCUAGGAUAGCAAGAUCUAAAUCUAGAUCUUUGUGAAGUAUAAAUCGCGAUUUUACAAUUUAAAUUGUCAAUUAAUUCAUCAGCUAGGUGUUAGUGUUG
This is an RNA transcript of Prosopis cineraria, 1678 nucleotides long. RefSeq lists it as uncharacterized. The record is from RefSeq and is a predicted model, not a curated record. NCBI's taxonomy places the organism in Eukaryota, Viridiplantae, Streptophyta, Magnoliopsida, Fabales, Fabaceae. The transcript is spliced from 10 exons.